AAUUCCAUCACAAAACUUGGAAUUUGAAGCUUAAUUUACAUCGUUUAAUUCCUUUGUAGCUUUGGAUUCAUUUGCUACACAAAGGUAGGGGGAAUCUUCUUUGAAACUGUUUUUGGAUUGAUUUUUAUGAUUUCAAUUCUCUGAUUUCCUUUGCAAUGAAAUUGAAGCUUAUUGAUACUCUUAUGAAACUCUAUAUGAUGGAUUUUUGAUGUUUAAAACGAAUUCAUGCUUGUUCCUUUUGAAUUUGAUUUUAGGGUUCAUGAAACAAGUUUGGGUUGUCUUCUAAUUUGAUAUGAAAAUUGUAUUACUUCUAAAAAUUAUCCAUGGGUAUUCUCAAUUUAUUGGAAUUGGUAUUUCCUUUCUCUUGAAACUCAAUUUAAAGCAUUUCAAAGAUUUCUAAAACAGUUUUAUGUCCUGUUUUUGGGAUAAAUUAUCACCAUGUUCAUGUGACUCUUGUUUUUAGUUAUAUUUUUUGGGUAAAAUAUGGACUUUUCUUAUUUAAUACUAUCCAAGAAUCAUUGAUUUACGAUAGGAAAUGAAAUCUGUGUGAAUUUUUGAGUAUAGACUUCCAAAACUUUAAUUUCUGAAGAGCUUGGUUACUGCCCUGUUUAUUUGAGACUUUUCAAAUCAAAUAUAUACCGUAUUUCUUAUGGUUAUGAUUUUUAUGUCAAAGAAGAGUUCCUCAUGUUUCUAACAAGACCAAGUUUGCUAAAUUCCAUUGUGUAAUGAAUUUUACACGAAUUUUCGAUUACAUACAGUACUAUCAAAACUGAAAUUUCAGAACAACUGCACAUCUGUCCUGGUUUAUUGAGAUGUUUAAACAUAUAUAUGUGCCUUAUUACUUUUGGCUAUAAUUUUUAUGUUAAAGUGGGGAUUUCCAGCUUUUAACGGAACCAAAGCUUCAGAAUUUCAGUUUGUAAUUAAUUUUGUACGAGUUUUUGAAUGUAGACUGCCAAAACUGCAAUUUUCUGAGAAACAUGAUUUCUGUCCUGUCUUGCUGAAACACUUUGACACAUAUAUAAAACUCAUUGAUUUUUACUAUCAUUUUUAUCUGAAAUAUUAUGUUUUCUUCUUUAAAAUGAGCGAAGAAACACUCAUUUUCGUAGUGUAACGAAGUCUACACAAUUCUUUGAAAACAGGCUCUGCAAUAUGAAUUUCAGAAACGUUCUACUGUUGUCUUAUGCCCAAAUAUCUUGUUAUCUAAACUAUUUGAUUUUCUUAUUUUUGUUAAUGCUUUUUUUGUGAAAGGAGGUAUUCUCCAUCUUCUAAAAUGGUAAGAUUUAUCAAAUUUUGAUUUGAAACGAAGCCCAUGGUAAUAUCUUUGAGUAAGUGGUUUAAAACGAUAUUUUUGUGCAAACUCUUGGUUUGAAUGAAUUCAUUGAUUCUGAGAUUAUUCCCAGCUCUAUGAUUUAAUACUUUAGUGUAUUUAUGAUCUUCUUUAUGUGGGAAAAGUUAAGGUAAGUCGCUUUCUUGAUUUAUGAAUCAAUAUUUGUUGAUGAUUUGUUCGAUACUCGUAUUUAACGAUGUUUGCGAACUAUUUAUGAAUUGCGUUGAGCAUCCUUUUGGUUAUGAACCCUACUGAUGAGUUUGUCGGGCCCACAAGGGGCAAUCCAUAUUAAUGGUGACCUGCAGAAGAUCGUCCAGGACGAUAGGGUGGUCUUCUGAUAAACCUCGACAGUUGGUUAUUCGGACCCUCACAAGUUUGAGGUCGGAUUGAGGUAGUAAGCUUGCAUAAGCUUGGUGAGCUUUGGGGUCAAAGUGAGUACAUCACUUUGUGUUCAUAUAUAUUCAUAUGUAUCUGGGUUGGCUUAUGAAAAAAAGAUAUUGUAUUUCCGAUUGCUUUAGUUUGUGAAAACUCAUACUAUCGCUUCUUAUCGAAGUUGUUGUUUGUAAAGAGAGUAUUAUUAAUAGUAAGUGUGGGUCAUGUUUAAA
This is a long non-coding RNA of Papaver somniferum (opium poppy), 1932 nucleotides long. RefSeq lists it as uncharacterized. The transcript has 2 exons. Lineage: Eukaryota; Viridiplantae; Streptophyta; Magnoliopsida; Ranunculales; Papaveraceae. The record is from RefSeq and is a predicted model, not a curated record.